GAUGAAGAACGCAGCGAAAUGCGAUACGUAAUGUGAAUUGCAGAAUUCAGUGAAUCAUCGAAUCUUUGAACGCAUAUUGCGCUCUCUGGUAUUCCGGAGAGCAUGCUUGUUUGAGUAUCAGUAAACACCUCAACUCCCUUUCUUCUUGAAAUGGAGCUGGACUUGAGUGAUCCCAACGCUUUAUUCAUAAAGUGGCGGGUUACUUGAAAUGCAGGUGCAGCUGGACUUUUCUCUGAGCUAUAAGCAUAUCUAUUUAGUCUGCAUCAAAACAGAUUAUUACCUUUGCUGCAGCUAACAUAAAGGAGAUUAGUUCUUGUGCUGACUGAUGCAGGAUUCACAAAGACCGCUUCGGCUGUCUUUGUAAACUCGAUCUCAAAUCAAGUAAGACUACCCGCUGAACUUAAGCAUAUCUAUAAGCGGAGGA
RNAcentral lists this unclassified non-coding RNA (424 nucleotides) under soil metagenome. Its description in RNAcentral is "partial contains 5.8S ribosomal RNA, internal transcribed spacer 2, and large subunit ribosomal RNA". The stretch from base 1 to 120 matches the Rfam family "5.8S ribosomal RNA", at positions 35 to 154 of the family's 154-position model. The record is from RNAcentral.